GGGGGCGGGAAACAAACAUCUGCGAUUCUGCCAGGGGACGGGGUGAGGCCACCGAUGCUGGAAGUGACGUGGAAUCAGCACCCAGGGAGCUCGAGGCGGCGGACAGGCAUUCGGGGCCAGCGCCUCUGAUGCGGGGCCCCCCGGACAGACAUUCCGCGGCUGUGAGACGCUGCGCCACACCACGCGUUCGUGUGCAAACACUUCACACCGGCCGGCUGCAGAGUGGAAAGGGCCCACCCAGUAAGGACUUAAGAGGAACAGUGUAAAUUCUGAUCUCUCUGACUGAGGCCUUCUCUUCCUGAAAUGCCUGCCCCAAAGGGUCGUGCAAAUCGUAGCCACUCUGCUUGCACUAGCUGCUCCAGACAGGGUCUGUGCUCUGCCACCGUGCACGGGCUUCAGCCUGUCAAGGAUGCCCGUGGUCCUGCUACAGCACUGCAGGUUCUGGGCCAGCUGGGCCAGGUAAACAGGUGGCCGGAGUGGAAGAGAUGAUGUAAAGAUGCGGCUUGUUUAACCUGGAGAAGAGCAGCUGGUCCAAGGGGCCAUGGUUAGAAGUCUUCAAAUGCAUGUGUUGCAGGAAAAAGAUGAAAGUGUUCUGUACAGCUUUGAGAGGUGGAAUCAAGUGGGCCCAGCGCUAGGAUUUAAGAGGUCAGAUUUUUUUUUUCUAACCAUCUUAUCCAUUUUAAAGUGUACAAUUUGGUAUUGUUAAGUAUUUUCACAUCAUUGUACAACGUCUUGCAAAAUGGAAACUCUAUACCCAUUAAACACUAAUUCCCACUCACGCAAGCCCUUGGCAACCACCUUUCUACUUUCUGCCUCUAUGAUUUUCACUAUUUUAGAUACUUCAUGUGAGUGGAAUCAUACAGUAUCUGUCCUGUUGUGACUGAUUUAUUUCACUUAGUAUACUGUGCUUAAAGUGCAACCGUAUUGUAGCAAGUGACAGGAUUCCCCUCUUUUUUGAAGG
Non-coding RNA from Kogia breviceps (pygmy sperm whale), 961 nucleotides. The record is from RefSeq and is a predicted model, not a curated record. Lineage: Eukaryota; Metazoa; Chordata; Mammalia; Artiodactyla; Physeteridae.